GCAUCGAUGAAGAAUGCAGCCAGCUGCAUGAAUUAAUGUGAAUUGCAGGACACAUUGAACAUCGAUAUCUUGAACGCACAUUGCGGCUUCGGGUCACUCCCGGAGCCACGCCUGUCUGAGGGUCGGC
Molecule: ribosomal RNA, 127 nt
Filed under: Lima lima
Lineage: Eukaryota; Metazoa; Mollusca; Bivalvia; Limoida; Limidae
Description: partial 5.8S ribosomal RNA
Rfam family: 5.8S ribosomal RNA
About the family: 5.8S ribosomal RNA (5.8S rRNA) is a component of the large subunit of the eukaryotic ribosome. It is transcribed by RNA polymerase I as part of the 45S precursor that also contains 18S and 28S rRNA. Functionally, it is thought that 5.8S rRNA may be involved in ribosome translocation.
Source: RNAcentral